This 471-nucleotide ribosomal RNA is filed under the name uncultured organism. Its description in RNAcentral is "partial 16S ribosomal RNA". It matches the Rfam family "Bacterial small subunit ribosomal RNA", at positions 334 to 797 of the family's 1533-position model. The record is from RNAcentral.
CACUCCUACGGGAGGCAGCAGUGGGGAAUUUUGGACAAUGGGCGAAAGCCUGAUCCAGCAAUGCCGCGUGAGUGAAGAAGGCCUUCGGGUUGUAAAGCUCUUUUGUCAGGGAAGAAACGGUGAGAGCUAAUAUCUCUUGCUAAUGACGGUACCUGAAGAAUAAGCACCGGCUAACUACGUGCCAGCAGCCGCGGUAAUACGUAGGGUGCAAGCGUUAAUCGGAAUUACUGGGCGUAAAGCGUGCGCAGGCGGUUUUGUAAGUCUGAUGUGAAAUCCCCGGGCUCAACCUGGGAAUUGCAUUGGAGACUGCAAGGCUAGAAUCUGGCAGAGGGGGGUAGAAUUCCACGUGUAGCAGUGAAAUGCGUAGAUAUGUGGAGGAACACCGAUGGCGAAGGCAGCCCCCUGGGUCAAGAUUGACGCUCAUGCACGAAAGCGUGGGGAGCAAACAGGAUUAGAUACCCCGGUAGUCCC